This 673-nucleotide long non-coding RNA is filed under the name Triticum aestivum (bread wheat). RNAcentral's name for it is "long non-coding RNA (TAES_LNC025832)". The record is from RNAcentral. Lineage: Eukaryota; Viridiplantae; Streptophyta; Magnoliopsida; Poales; Poaceae.
ACCGCAAUGCCUACAUGGUUGAAGUUAAGUCAAUGCAACCGAAGAAACUUACUGGAACCCAUUAUUAUCAAUAAGUUUCAUCCUUUCACGAGUUUCUAUAUACCAGGUGAUUGCUCAUCUUUAAGCAUUAUAUUGCUCAUCCAAUGCAUUGUUUCUCAAAUAGUACCUUUGUUCUUCUUCUUAAGCAUUAAUUCACUAAUAAUUUAAGCUUAGUUAGAAAUUGUCCCGAUGCUAGAUAGAUGAACUUAUAGCCGCAACGGAUGUCAAAUGAGUAAAAGUGCAAAAUCAAUUGUCAAAGGUGUAACUCAGUUGGCAUGUUUGGGGCCUUAAAGCUAGUAAUAUUAUGUUAUUCAGUACUUCCAUUCCUUUUUGUCAUGGAAAUUCAUAGGGGACAUAGCCACGAUUAUGAUAUAGCUUUUCUUUAUGUUGAUGAGCUGGUCAUGAGUUCUAACACUUCAAACCCUUAUGUUGCAUAGGUUCUGCUAAUUAUGUUCUGUUUGUAUUUUUGGUUACUGACAGAGUGAUGAUUUUGUUUUCUUUAGGUGGAGGACCGGCUGCUGCAGUUUUCACCGAGUUUGUCGCAUUGGAUCAAUGUGGUCUGAAAUACUUUUAUGUUGUCUGAAGGAACUUACUGAACAUCUGCCCUGCUCUACUCAAGUUCGAAAGUAACAAG